UUCUCCCAGGUCUGGAAGGCUCGUCUUCCCCCUAAGAUUAAAAUCUUUUUAUGGCAAGCCUUUCGGCGCCGGCUGCCUUCGGCUGAUCAAAUUCGCAAGAGAAAUGGCCCGGGCUCCCAGUUCUGUGCUCUGUGUGGUGCUGUUGAGGACACUGAGCAUAUCUUUUUUCAUUGUCACCUGGCUAAGCUCAUUUGGAGUUGCGUUCGGGAUUGGUUAAACGUCUCUUGGGCCCCUGCCUCCUUUGCGGAGCUGCGGGCUUUGGCCCAUGACCUUUCGGGCGUCUCUCGGCGUCUCUUUUGGGUGGGCUUGGGAGCGAUGUGCUGGUCCCUUUGGACGACUAGGAACAAAUUUACUAUUGAACAUGUGUUUCCUGCUAAACCUGCUGACUGCUUAUUUCAAUCAUGUGCCCUCCUGCAGCAGUGGAAAUCAUUGACUAAGGACGACGACCAUGAAGCGUUCACUGCGUUAACCUCCAAAAUUCGGACGACGGCGUCUCUUCUUUGCAGACAAGCGCAGGGUGACUAA
This 525-nucleotide ribosomal RNA is filed under the name Triticum aestivum (bread wheat). Its description in RNAcentral is "partial small subunit ribosomal RNA". The record is from RNAcentral. Lineage: Eukaryota; Viridiplantae; Streptophyta; Magnoliopsida; Poales; Poaceae.